GUCGAGCGGUAAGGCCCUUCGGGGUACACGAGCGGCGAACGGGUGAGUAACACGUGAGCAACCUGCCCCUGACUCCGGGAUAAGCGGUGGAAACGCCGUCUAAUACCGGAUACGACCCGCCACCUCAUGGUGGAGGGUGGAAAGUUUUUCGGUCAGGGAUGGGCUCGCGGCCUAUCAGCUUGUUGGUGGGGUAACGGCCUACCAAGGCGAUUACGGGUAGCCGGCCUGAGAGGGCGACCGGCCACACUGGGACUGAGACACGGCCCAGACUCCUGCGGGAGGCAGCAGUGGGGAAUAUUGCGCAAUGGGCGAAAGCCUGACGCAGCGACGCCGCGUGGGGGAUGACGGCCUUCGGGUUGUAAACCUCUUUUACCACCAACGCAGGCUCCCAGUUCUCUGGGGGUUGACGGUAGGUGGGGAAUAAGGACCGGCUAACUACGUGCCAGCAGCCGCGGUAAUACGUAGGGUCCGAGCGUUGUCCGGAAUUAUUGGGCGUAAAGAGCUCGUAGGCGGCGUGUCGCGUCUGCUGUGAAAGACCGGGGCUUAACUCCGGUUCUGCAGUGGAUACGGGC
Molecule: ribosomal RNA, 572 nt
Filed under: Nocardiopsis dassonvillei
Lineage: Bacteria; Bacillati; Actinomycetota; Actinomycetes; Streptosporangiales; Nocardiopsidaceae
Description: bacterial SSU rRNA
Rfam family: Bacterial small subunit ribosomal RNA
Source: RNAcentral